UUGAAGCGCACAGCCGCGCUUUUGAGUUACACAUUUGAAAGUCGGGGGGUUCCAUAUUGCAGUCUUGAGUUCGGUCUUCCUGGGAAGGUGGGGCACCAGCCCCAUGCCACGUUGCACGGAUCAGCUGGAGCAGAAUCCCGGCUUCCCUCCGGAUGAGCCUGGGGUUCAUACCCGUGCUCGCUGCCAAGGUGUCUCUGGCCCCUGCGGACACGAGUUUGCGACCUCUGAGUCACUGGGUGGGCAGGUCGGAAAGACCAGGGCGCCUCAGUCGGGAGCUCGCAGUCGUAUGGAGAGGGCAGGACCAGCCGGGGAGGAGGGCGGCGCGCGCGAGGGUCGCCUUCUUCCCAGGGCACCGGGGGCGUGGUUGCUGCGGGCGUGCGCCGAGAGGGCAGCGUUGGAAGCGGGCGCAGCUUCGGCAGACACAGGCGUGAGGGGCUGCGGAGCUCGAGGGCCGGCGCCAGGCUGCAGGGCACGGCCUCGCCCCGGCGCCCCUGCUUGCCUCUGCGGGAGGUGGGCGCGCCCGAGACGGAACCUGGGGCGUCAGAACGAAAGGCAGCGGCGCCGCGCUUCCCAGCCGGACAGCCUCCCGCGCAGCGCCCCGGCCGGAAGCCUCCUAGCCGCCGCUUCCCCUCGGGAAGGCGCGGGGCGGGCUGUCCGGCCCGUAGGGCUGUCGAGGUGGGAACAGAACAACCCCGGGGGCCCCCUUGAGGCGGCGAGGCCGGGAAGGGCGCGGGGCUGGAGGCCCGCGGCGCCAUGGCUCACGUCGGCUCCCGCAAGCGCUCGAGGAGUCGCAGCCGGUCCCGGGGACGGGGGUCGGAAAAGAGAAAGAAGAAGAGCAGGAAGGACGCCUCGAGGAACUGCUCGGCCUCCACAUCCCAAGGUCGCAAGGCCAGCACGGCCUCUGGGGCGGAGGGUGAGGACCACAGGCAUCGGGGAAAGGAGGCGCAGCCACUUCCCAGGGAAGUUGGGGCGAGCAGUGGUCGGGGACGCUCAGUCAUGCCUCUGUGCAGCCGGGCCUGAGAUGUGAGGGCCAGGCGCCGCAGGAGCCGGGAAGGGGCUCCUCUGGGAAGCUCCAUCUCUGUUCUGGAAAGCCCCUCAGGAAGCACUCACCCUGUAGACGGUCUGUGCCUGCCCCAGGCCAGAGCAGGGGACAAAGGUUUACCUCUUCCCCUCCUGGCCUUCCAGCCUCACCUUCUCCCUGCAUCACAGAGAGAAGCAAGCAGAAGGCCCGGAGGAGACCACGAUCCAGCUCCUCCUCCUCCUCUUCCAGUUCUUCUAGCUCCUCUUCUUCCUCCUCGUCCUCCUCCUCUUCCUCCAGUGAUGGCCGGAAGAAGCGGGGGAAGUACAAGGACAAGAAGAGGAGGAAGAAGAAGAAGAGGAAGAAGCUGAAGAAGAAGGGCAAGGAGAAGGCGGAAGCACAGCAGAUGGAGGCUCUGCCGGGCCCCUCGCUGGACCAGUGGCACCGAUCAGCUGGGGAGGAAGAGGAUGGCCCAGUCCUGACGGAUGAGCAGAAGUCCCGAAUCCAGGCCAUGAAGCCCAUGACCAAGGAGGAGUGGGAUGCCCGGCAGAGCAUCAUCCGCAAGGUGGUGGACCCUGAGACGGGG
Molecule: RNA transcript, 1604 nt
Organism: Nomascus leucogenys (northern white-cheeked gibbon)
Lineage: Eukaryota; Metazoa; Chordata; Mammalia; Primates; Hylobatidae
Gene: ARL6IP4
Gene name: ADP ribosylation factor like GTPase 6 interacting protein 4
Exons: 3
Source: RefSeq, a predicted model, not a curated record